This 254-nucleotide long non-coding RNA is filed under the name Gossypium barbadense (sea-island cotton). RNAcentral's name for it is "long non-coding RNA (GBAR_LNC023568)". The record is from RNAcentral. Lineage: Eukaryota; Viridiplantae; Streptophyta; Magnoliopsida; Malvales; Malvaceae.
UUUUCAACACAAUGUCAGGUCUCAUUCUCCUAAGCUUCUGUUGAACGGGUUUACAAUCCUCCUUUAUGGGCAGACGAUGCACCACAAUGUUAGUACUUAGCCCAGGCAUAUCUUGGUACGACCAUGCGAAAACAUCUUUGAACUCUCGGAGCAAAUUAAUGAGGUCUUGCCUUGUCUUUGCGGUGAUUUCAGUUCCAAUUUUCACCUCCUUUCCAUCAUCUAGGCUCACUAUUUCUAACGAUUCCCUAUGAGGU